This is a non-coding RNA of Equus caballus (horse), 19237 nucleotides long. The record is from RefSeq and is a predicted model, not a curated record. Lineage: Eukaryota; Metazoa; Chordata; Mammalia; Perissodactyla; Equidae.
CUUGCUACCCCAAGGUGUAGGCCAACUACUGUCUCCAUGUAAGCUUCCUUUCUCUUGAAGGAAAGUCUUUUAAUAGGGGUCUUUUAAAAGGAAGUCUGAAAUUAUUAACUUAUUUGAAUUAAAUUUAUUAUUCAUUCUUAACCCAAAUACCACUUUAUGGCUAAAUAUUAUUAGAUUAGCUAAUCGUAUUAGCCAAAACCAGGGAUUCCAACUAUAAAGACUUCCACGACUAUAUACCUCAGUCAUAAUUGUAACUUCUUCCAUUUCAUUCCGGCUUGAGAUGUAAAUCUGCUUUUGAAAAUACGAGAUUAAGAUUAUUUGAAAUUGAGUAUAACUUAUACAUGAUAUAGAAGUUAGAAGCUGUUUGGCUAUGAAGAGAUGAAGAAGUGUUUGCAUAUACUUUUAAGAAUCACCUUUUGGCUAUAUUUGGUUAUGAUAUACUGCCUAGAGAGAUUUUUAAAUUUGGAAAUUUAUGAUGAAUAUAAAAAGAAUGAUAAAAUUUACUCUAUAAUGAGACAUGAUUCCUUGUGAAUUAGUAAAACAGCUAGUUUUAUAGAGCAUGUUAGAGGACCAAUGGCCUCAAGUUAAGAUUCUAUUAAAGUGAUUUUUUUUUUGUAGAAAAAGAUUUUUUGCUCAUUGUAGAAAAAUACCAUUAAACAAAAUGAUCAUCACCACUACCACCCAUAAUCCCUUCUUUUAGAGAUGAACAGCUACCACCUUUGUUUAUAUCCUUAUACGCCAUCUGCUAUAUCUUUGUCUGUCUGUCUGUCUCUCCUGCCCACCCUUCCUCCCUCUUCCUCUUUCCCUUCCUUGCUCCUUUUCUUCCUCUGUCCUUCGCUUCUUGCCUCUCUCCUUCCACAUGUCUCAAAUGACAUUGUAUCACGUAGGCUGUAUGAUGAAAUGCCUUUUCUUGGUGCAUCUGCAUUAGGAAAGACUAAGAAUUUUCUGGUUAGUAAUAAGCACCAUGAAGCAGGAAACAGGCAACCCAACACAGAUAGCCUGAAACACAGGGCCUCCUGUUUCAUUUAUUCACACUCACACCCACUCGGACGCAUAACAAAUUAUUAUAAGCCAUAGAAAGGGUUUUGAUAUCAGUCUUCAGUUCUUCACUAAGAAACCAGUGAUAACUCUUAACAAUGUGAAUGAGACUAAAAUAAUGUUUCCAAGCAUCUAUUCUUUCAAGUUCUGGGAAUCCUCUUCUGUGUGCUAAAAUGUCUGCUUCUUGUUUAAGGAGAAUUAUUACCAAUCACAGAAAGUUCUUGGACUAGACUUUUCUGAUACAGAUGCUGAAAUUUGAAGCAGUUAAGUUUAACUGCUUGCUCUACCAGUUAUGAGGAACGCCGUAAUUCACUAUGUUUUUUUUCCAAGUCUGUCUGUUCGUUUGUUUUAUUUUCUACUGCUUGAGUUCUCCUAGAGGUAAUCAAGGGACUGUUGUGUAGCAGAGUUGGUUGAGAGCAUGACUCUUGAGCCAGACUGUGUAGGUUCAGUUCCUUGCUCCAUCUGACUUGUGUAGUGGUCUUGGGUAAGUCACUUAGCCCCACUGUACCUGAGGGUUCUCAUCUUAAAGUCGGGAUAACAAUAGUACUUACCUCAUGGGGUUUUGGUGAGUAUUGAAUGUCUGCCAUAUUGUAAACAUGCAAAUGUCAGCUGUUUUUAUUAUUUAAAUAUGAGCUGUAAAGAUCACAUAUGGUAGGAUUUCAUUUAUAUGAACUGUCCAGAAUAGGCAAAUCUAUAGUGAUAGAAAGCAGAUUUGUGUUGAGUACAGCUAGAAGACUUGAGGGGAGUGAGGAGUGACUGCUAAUGGGUGUGAGUUUUUUUAGGUGUUGAUGAUGUUCUAAAAGUAAUUAUCAUGAUGGCUGCACAAGUCUGUGAAUAUACUAAAAACCAUUGAAUGAUAUACUUUAAAUAUUGAGUUGUAUAGGAUGUAAAUUAUAUCUCAGUUAAGCUGUUAUAAAAAAAAUAUGACCUGGAAACAGAUCUUUGUUGCACAGUGGCAUGGUGUUUCUUGUGUUAACACCAUUAAACACCCCUCUGGUUGCCACGUCUCAGGAAUGUUACUGUUUUUGGGGGUACAUAGAUGUACAUUGAAAGAGAACAUCAGGAAACUUCUCUUUUUCUCAGGUGUGUUUGAAGGAGGAGUGUUCCCUUGGAGAAUGACAGAAUGGAGAAUAUGCAGGGGUACUGCAAAGCUUGUCAGCUCUCUUUCCAGAAUUUUCAAACUGCAGUUUAGAAUAUGCAUACUCUUAGUUCUGAGACAGUACACUUAAGAAUUAGAAGGGAAGUAAUAGAGGAAGCUACGAUAGAAGUCACAAGUAUAUAUGAGAUUGUAUUAUCAUAACAUUGUCCUAAUAAGACUGAAAUUUGUUUUUGAUACUUAAUGAGUUAGGAUUCUUUUACUUGGUAGUAACAUUUGAAAAGUACUGUCUAAAAAAAAUUUUCUAGGAUUGCCCAUGAAGACUAAUUUCAGAAAUGUAGAUAUGGUACGAUAUCAAAGGUAUGUAUUGAUUGGAGGAAAACAAGUUGAAGAAUGAAAAUAAAUUUAUUUAUAUAAAAUGUUUAGGCUUAUAGUGAAUACGUUCUCAAAUAUAAGUCUGAUGCAUUCCUGUGGAUCAGAAUGAAUAGUCAUAGGUUGCCAUUUAACGAUUGUGAUCACGAGAAUGCACUUUAAAUAUCUAUGAAGUCCGCACAUUCCAAUUUAGUUUGAGUGGAAAUUAAAUGUACAGUCUUUGGAAAUAUAAAUGAUCAGUUCAUAACUUGAUUAUAUUUUGAGUAUAUAUUUCAUAGAUUAUAUAUUGAUAUUGAUUAUAUUUUGAAGAAGAAUUUUACUAUAUUUUCUAUUUGUUUUGGGGGGAGGUGUUUCAAAAUCAUUGCCCUUGCCAUAGAAAAUUAUUGAAAUAAAUAGAAGGGCAUAGGAGGAAAUUAUAUUAAUAUUUAUAUCAUAUAUAUCAUGUUUUUUCCUCUUCCAUGAUAUAUUCUAGGUAUUUUUCAAAAAUCACAGGUAGCAAAAAUAUGCAAUAUUUGGAUUUAUUCCAAUCUGUAUCCUUAGAACUUCAAAUAAAAUAUCCAUGUAUGGAGGCUUAUUUUUUAUGCUGUAUAGGUUCAGUGACUGGACUUAUUGGGAGAGGAAGUACAUCACUUAAGAGCUCUGCUGAGCUGAAAUUCACAGUAAAACAAUAAUUUCCAUCAUUAUCAAUUUUCAGCAUAGAGUCUGUUUCUAACGUGUACUGAGUCACUGAACCAGGAAGGUGUUUACCUGCAAGGUGAGCUGAUGAAAUGGGAGAAGCUUUUAAGUUCUAAAAUUUCAGUCAGAGUCUUCCCUAGAGGAAGGAAGACAUGGGUCUCCUCCCUUUUUUAUAUUCUCUUGUCAAUCACAAAGCCUCUUUGUACUGAUGGGGCCUUGAUGGUGACUGAGUGCUGACUGUUGAUCAUAGUCUUGUCAUCCUAACAUGCAAAAUAAGAGGAGGAGGAGAGCAUAGCUUUGGGUUCUCAGGCCUUAGAGAGUAAGUUGAUGUGUCAGCCCAGGACCUCUGAAUCCAAGCUGCCCUGGAAUGCUUUCUAAAGUGAUUUGAUCACUGAGUAGAGUAUGUAAUUCUUAUGAUUUUUAGCUCCUUAGUCUUGUUCAGAACAAGAAUGAUAUUUAAAAUCAGAGGAUGGAAGCAAUUGAGCUUAUCAGAUUUGAUUUCUUCUAUCACAAAACAUUAAGCUCUCUAAUAUUUGUAAGCACAAAUGUUAUAUUAACUUCUGUUUCUUGCUCGAAUGCUAAAAAAUGGUUUUUGAAUUGGAUAAUUCCCAAUUCUAAUAUUUUGGAUAAACCUUCCAUGCAGAGUAUCAUCUUAAGAUAUUUUCAAAGGUUCCUAUGGAAGGUAAGACUGUCCUCAUCUUACCUUUUAAAACCACCAGCAGCUUUUAACAUGUGUGAAACACGUAGGAAGAUUUAUUAUAGCAAGCCAAUCUUGCUGAAAUUACUUGAGUCCUGAGAAUUUUAUAACUUAUUGAAGUUUUUGAUCACUCUACUGAAGUUGUUGUCUAUUUCUUUUGGAUCUGAGCUUUACGUCCCUUAUAAUUUUCUAUUACAUUUUAAUGAUUAAGAACAACUGUGUGAAUAAAUAUAAGUUGGAAUGAUAUAGCUUUCACCUUCUUAAAAGAAUAUAGGCCUAAUGAAAUAGUGUUAAUUUUUAAAUUUUUCUUUGCAAAAGCGGAAAUAAAAUAGUUCUGAUAAGGAUAAAAAAAGAAAGGUUUUGUUUGUUAUCAAGUGAGAUUUUAUUAAUUCCUAAGUAUAUGCUUGUUAAUAUUCAAGAGGUAUAAAAUGAACUGUUACAAAUUUAAGUGUCUGAUGUAAGGACCAAAAGUGAGUCCUCAAAUUUUAACUUGCACACAAAUAAGUUAGGGAUCUAACUGAAAUGCAGAUAUGACUCAGUAGCUCUGGGAUGGGAUGUGAGCUUCUGUAUUUCUAACAAGCUCCCAGGUGGUACCAGGGCUGCUGGUCCUGGGAUCACACUCUGAGUAGCAAGCUGUAUGUCACCUCAAGAAGUAAAUAAAAUUUUCCUUAAAAUCUGUUAAAAUAAAUCCAGAGAAUUUAAUCCCAUGGUCUCUCUUGGCAAUCUAUUCUAGUAGUUCACAGCGUAGAGAGUCAAAUUUUCCCCAGACAUCUUAAAUCUCUGUAACAAGAGGGAAUGGGCUUACCCUAAAGUCCUUUUAUCACCUGACGUGGAAGACAGCUAUUCAUAUAAUUAUUUUAGAUGCUCAAAGAUUAUGGUGUCCCCUCUCCUCCCUCUUACUUUCUUUCAGCAUCAGCCUCCUUUAGCAUUUCAGUACAUAUUUUACUUUAUCAUCCCAACUUAAACUGCAAAUCUAUGAAGGGAGAAAUGAUGAGUUGGUUAUUCAGUAGGUGAAUUGAUGAGAGAUUUUUCUGAUCUAAAAUUUAUCAUUUAUCAAUCUAUGAAACAAAAAGACUAGGAGAAACAAAUCUUCUCUUUUUUAAAAAAAUAUGUUACUUAUACAAGUAAUACACUACUGAGUUCUUUUGAAAAAAAUUCAAAUAAUCAAAACUAUGUAGCAUAAAAAGUGAAAGUUUUUACCCCUUUAUCUGGCUGCUUCUUCCUGCUUCUCUUUUCAGUUGAAACUAUCUUAACAGUUUGGCAUACAUCCUUCCAGAAUUCUGUCUGUACAUACUUAUAUACCAUGUCUAUAUUUAUUUUGAAAAAUAGGAUUACAUACAAUAUAUUUUUCUGCAGUGUUUUACUAUUUAAUAAUAUGACUUAGGGUUCUGUCCGUAUGUCACUACACAUAGAUCUACCUCAUUGUUUUUAGCAGCUGCAAAAAAAGACCCCCAAAACUAUAAAUAAUUCUUUAAGCCCUAAUAACAGACAUUAUACUGUUCUAGUUUUUCACAUUACAAAUUGUACAACUGUGAACAUUCUUUUUAAAAUAUCUUUGUGCACAUGUUCCAGUGUUUCUGUAGGUUAGAUAGUUACCUGCAAAUGGGUUCUCAGGGUCAAAUAUACAGACAUAUUUAAUUUUCAUAGAUACUGCCAGAUUAUCCCCUACAAAAGGCAGUACCAAUCUACUUUCCCUCCAAGAGUGUUUGUUAAUCCUCAAUCCUAGUUCACGUCGGUAAUUUUUACCUUUGUCAGUCAAAUGAGCGGAAAGGUUAUGCCUCAUUUUUGUGUUUCUUUGUAUUUCUCUGGUAACUAGUGAGGUGGAACAUCUUGUCAUCAGUGCAUUAGCCAUUUGGUUUCCUUCCCUUUACCUAUUCUUUAUUUUUUAAUUUAUUGUGCUGAUUUGUAGGAGCUCUUUAUAUGAUAUCUGUAUUCAUUUUUGCUUGUUAUAUUGCUGUAUCAGUCAGCUGUUGUGUAAACAACCACCACAAAAUCUUAGUGGCAUAUGACAAGCAAGUUGUCCGGACCAGCUCCGUGUCACACUGCAGGUGUGUGGGUCAGUCAGGGCAGCUCCCCGUCACACUGCAGGUGUGUGGGUCAGUCAGGGCAGCUCCCCGUCACACUGCAGGUGUGUGGGUCAGUCAGGGCAGCUCCCCGUCACACUGCAGGUGUGUGGGUCAGUCAGGGCAGCUCCCCGUCACACUGCAGGUGUGUGGGUCAGUCAGGGCAGCUCCCCGUCACACUGCAGGUGUGUGGGUCAGUCAGGGCAGCUCCCUGUCACACUGCAGGUGUGUGGGUCAGUCAGGGCAGCUCCCCGUCACACUGCAGGUGUGUGGGUCAGUCAGGGCAGCUCCCUGUCUCACUGCAGGUGUGUGGGUCAGUCAGGGCAGCUCUGUGUAACACUGCAGGUGUGUGGGUCAGUCAGGGCAGCUCUGUGUAACACUGCAGGUGUGUGGGUCAGUCAGGGCAGCUCCGUGUCACACUGCAGGUGUGUGGGUCAGUCAGGGCAGCUCCCUGUCACACUGCAGGUGUGUGGGUCAGUCAGGGCAGCUCCCUGUCACACUGCAGGUGUGUGGGUCAGUCAGGGCAGCUCUGUGUAACACUGCAGGUGUGUGGGUCAGUCAGGGCAGCUCCCCGUCACACUGCAGGUGUGUGGGUCAGUCAGGGCAGCUCCGUGUCACACUGCAGGUGUGUGGGUCAGUCAGGGCAGCUCUGUGUAACACUGCAGGUGUGUGGGUCAGUCAGGGCAGCUCUGUGUAACACUGCAGGUGUGUGGGUCAGUCAGGGCAGCUCCCUGUCACACUGCAGGUGUGUGGGUCAGUCAGGGCAGCUCCGUGUCACACUGCAGGUGUGUGGGUCAGUCAGGGCAGCUCCCUGUCACACUGCAGGUCUGCGGGUCAGUCAGAGCAGCUCCGUGUCACAUUGCAGGUGUGUGGGUCGGUCAGGGCAGCUCCCUGUCACACUGUAGGUCUGUGGAUCGGUCAGGGCAGUUGUGUUCCCCAUGUGUUUGUUCUGAUGCCUGAGGUGAGGGGAGGAAAACUAUGCAGGGCAAGCUAUCCUCAUGUUAGUGGCGUGAGAUUCAUUUUCACUAAUGUCAUCUUAAAAUAUCGAUGUAUGUAUACCUUAAGUACUCUAUUUGAGCCUCGCACACACAAAUGUCUGCUCAUUUACCAAAGCAUUUUCUUUGAGUAUGUGUUCCCUCACUGCACUUCUGAGUUGUUUUUGUUGUAUAAACGAUACUUAUAAGGUAUUGUCUUUUCAAAGCAUUCAACUCAGUUUCCAUGGAAACAACUUUCUUCCUUUUUGGUUUAUGUAGUCGUAUGUAGAUCAGUUACAUGAUUACAUUAACAAAUACAAAUAAUGUGAACACAUUUAGGGGCAAAUACAUUGACUCUUGGCAAGCAUGUAACUCAACUCGUGUGAACAAAUGUUUUGUGGCUGUGUUUGGGAGUGGUGUUUUUAUCUUUGAGUAAUUGAUAUGAACAUUAGAAUGUUUUACAGAGAGAAAAUAGAGAAGCUAAGUUUGUCUUUUUAUCUGUAGUCCCUUACAUAGAGAUUGGAUAAGAGAAUAUUUACUGUAAAGAUCACAUUUUAAAAAUAUUUACUAACUUCUGAUGCCACGUCUUUUGUCUCUGUGGUAUCAUCAUCAUUACCUUUUUAAAAAUCUUUAAGGAUUUCUUCCAUGUCUUAAAGCUCUCAAAAUCUGGCUUCUACUUUUUUCCCCCCUUGUUAUUUGUCUUAGUGGAGCCAGACUUCAGUCAUCCUUUUUUACUGUAGGAACUACUUUAUAUAUUUAACGUAUAUCUUGACACUUAUUUAUGCUAGCCUAAAAAGAACUGAGGUUCAAGAAUUCACGGACUACAUGCAGAUUUAGUUUCGUUUUAAAGUCAUUUGAUAUGUUGCAAAAUUCCGUAAACAAAAGUGUUUUCCUUUAAAGUGAGUAGUACCAGUACUUAAUGUUUCAGAGGAUCAUGGAGUUUUAGAAUAGGAAGCAAAUUAGAGAUCAUGUAAUACAGCUUCAUCACUUUUCUGGUGAGGAAACAGAAUCUCUGAGGAUUUUUGUGACUUGUCUUAGCUCACAGCAGUUAGGGACAAAUGUAGAAGUAGAAUUUUGAAUAAUUUACUUUAAAAUACCAUUAAUUAUUUCAAAACAAUUGAAUAUUUUGAAACUUAUGUGAGGAACAUGGCAAAAGAUUCAGUAUUAUUUUUGUGCUCUUAAAUAUUACAACGUGAUGGAAAGCCUUUUUGAGAGGAAAGAUGAGAUUAAACAGAUCUAGAAGUUAAGGAAGUUAGAAGUUUGGUCAAAAAAUUUUUAAUGCAUAUUUUGGGUUUUGUGUAUAAAAUAGUUUUAACUAUAUGAGAAAUGCCAUCUCAUGGGAUUAUUAAUCUUUCUAUUUGAAAUAAUAAAUAUUUCUGAUCAUUGCCAUUAGAAAUCUUUGAAAUUCCUUUCUUGUGACUAGAUUUGAAAUCAGAAGGGAGGAUAAAGGCUAUAUUGUAGUCAGAUGGCUAUACUUUCUGUUUCUGUGUUUCAAUCUCUUUCUUUCCUUCUCUUUCUCUCCUCCCUCCCCCUUCUCCAUCCUGUUUCUUCUCUAAUCUUUUUGUUUUUUUGUUUUCUGGUUUUUUGACCUAAUAUAUAAUGUCAAGGAAACAACUAGUAGUGCACUAUGGCACUUAACAUUAAAUAUCCAUCAUGGCAUUUUAAGUGUGAGAAAUGUGUGUAUAACUGACGUUUCAGAAUGGAAUUAAAUUUAUGUUGCUACUUCCUUAGGCAUUAUUAAGAAUUUCUUAAGAGGAAGAAACAAUACAUUAACAUAUAUUUAUAAUCAUUUCUGAUCUUUUAUCAUGAAUUGAUCACUGUUUUAUGAAAUGUAAAAGAUAGAUAUUGAAGAUUUAUUUGAACAGCAGUUUGUACAUUUUAAGCCUUUCAGUUGUUUGCAUUUUUGCAAUGUAGUUCCAGCCUUAAGCUCACUGGAUAUAGUCAAUUGUCUUUUAAAUGCAAUUUUCCAAAUUUAAGAUACAUGCCUUUUAUCUAGGAAAUCAGGAAUAUCUUAAAUUUUAUUCUGUGUUUAUUAUCUUUAAGGAUGUUAUUUUAUUUCUAGUAUCAAAGUUUUUGUUGAAAAAUAAUUAACUAGAUUUCCAAAGAGAUUUAUAAAAAAGAGAUUGUUGUUUUUUAAAGCUGUGAGCUGUUUGAAGUUUUGUCAGACAAGUCUGAAGCUACGUUGUAGAGUACAGAUUUUACAUUUUCCUUUUUCACAUCACGCUGGCCACAGUAUUAAUAAGCUACAAUUGAAAUAUGAAACUUUGACAGAAAGCAGAAAUUGGAAUGUUACUAACAGCUGUUGUCAUAAAAGAGAUUAACUAGAAUUUUAUUGUGUCUAAAACAUUAUCUUCUCACAAGUCUCCUUUUUUAGAUUACUGAAUUGAAAUUCUUACUCUACUCUGCAUAAUUGCACUUUAACAGUCAAGUAUUGUUUCUUCUUGCUCCAUACAUGGAUGGAUUAAAUAGAUUUUAGGCUGAUCACAGCUACCUUUUAUAAGGUUCUGUUUGUCUAGAAGCAUUCUUUCCAAAUCAUAAUUCCUUUGGAUUUAACUGUUUUUGCUUUAACUGUUGUGUUAAUAACAUCCAGAUCUGCUCUGGGUCUUGACCUCUUGCCCUGUUUCUAGCCCUGCAAAUCUAACUAGGUUCCCUAUCUUGGCGUUGGACUUUUUGUUUAACUUCAGCAUCUCUCUUUUUGCAGCAUCCUCUUCCCAUUGCUUUCUUCACCUGUCACUUAUGUCUUCCUGUAAGUGGUCACCUACAAGGUGGGAACAAUUACACAGGCUACAUCUUGGGCACAGCGUGCUUUCUUUCAGUGCCCAAAUUUAUUUGUAGUAUAAAGUAAUUUUUACAAUGCUGAUGUACCCUAGGUAGAACCUGUCUAUAUUGUCACAUAUUUCCAACACUUUUGUAUGGGAAAUAGUGCCAAAAGUCCCAUUUCUGGGUAUGCAACUUAAGUGAGAGAAGUUUCAAAUUCUUAUGGGAAGAGCUAACAACACACUCGUGAGAGAGAGAUAUAAUGAAUCUGAGGAACAGAUAUUUGUCUAAAUUUUAUCACAUUUGAAAGAGUCAUAUAUUAACAGGAAUUUUAAACGUAAGUAGCAUACAAGCACAUAUAACUUAAAAAAUCCACCCCUCGGAGGUAUUGCGGGUUUGGUUACAGACCACUGCAAUAAAGCAAAUAUUGCAAUAAAGCGGUCACACAAAGUUUUUGGUUUCCCGGUGCAUAUAAAAGUUAUGUUUAUACUAUACUAUAGUCUAUUAAUUGUGUAUUAUGUCUAAAAACAAUAUACCUACCUUAAUUAAAAAAUACUUUAUGGCUAAAAAACGCUAACCAUCAUCUGAGCCUUCAGCGAGUCUGCAGGUGGAGGGUCUUGCUUCAGUGUUGGUGACUGCUGACUGAUCAGGGUGGUGGUGGCUGAAGAUUGGGGUGGCUGUGGCAAUUUCUUAAAAUAAGACAACAGUGUAGUUUGCCACAUUGAUUAACUUCCUUUCAUGAACGGUUUCUCUGUAGCAUGUGAUGCUGUUUGAUAGCAUUUUAUCUACAGGAGAACUUCUUUCAAAAUUAGAGCCAGUCCUCUCAAAUCUUGCUGCUGCUUUAUCAUCUACAUUUAUGUAAUAUUCUAAAUCUUUUGUUGUCAUUUCAACAAUCUACACAGCAUCUUCACCAGGAGUAGAUUCCAUUUCAAAAAACCACUUUCUUUGCUCGUCCAUAGGAAGCAACUCCUCAUCCAUUAACGUUUUAUCACGAGAUUGUGGCAGUUCAGCCACAUCUUCAGGCCCUACCUCUAAUUCUACUUCUCUUGCUGUUUCCACCACGUCUGCAGUAACUUCCUCCACUGAAGUCUUGACCCCCUCAAAGUCAUCUAUGAGGGUUAGAAUCAACUUCUUUCAAACUCCUGUUAGUGUUGCUAUUUUGACCUUUUCCCAUAGAUAGUGAAUCCUCUGUUGGAUCUGGGUAAAGUAAAUUGAAAAACUUCCGCAUAACAUACACCAUUUUAGGUGCCAUUAAGAACAUUCAUGAUUCUUAUUAUUUCUAAAAAAAAAAAAUGUCUAAAAAUCAAUGUACAUACCUUAAUUAAAAAAUACUUUAUUGCUCAAAAAUGCUAACCAUCAUAUGAGUAUUAGGUGAGUUGUAAUACUUUUGCAAAUUGAAGGUUUGUUGCAACCCUGCUUAAUCAAUAAAUGUUAACUCUUGUUAUUGUAAUUGUUAUUUUACCCAAAUACAUUAUUUUAAAAAAUCCAAUUUUAUGGCAUUAUGUAAUGUGAUCAUUCACUGGUUAGAGCAUAACAAUUUCUGUAACUUUAGCAUACAUGGGGAGCAUGUGGUAAUCAGUGUUUCUUGUAGACACAUAUUAGCAAAAAGUAAAUGGUUUAUAUCCUGGGUACCAAGUGAGGGAGUACACAGUUGAACACCGUAAGAGUUCAACAGAAGAGGAAGACACUUUGUGGAAAUUUGAUCUGUCCUUUAAAAGGAUAAUCAAGCAGUGGCAGCUGCAGCAGCUAACGUUUAUCGAGUCCUUACUCUGUGCUCGGUGCUGUGUUAGACACUUUGUGUGCAUUAUUUUCCUCAAAAGUGCUAAGAGAUAUUAUUUGUAGCCUUAAGGAUGAUGAAACUGAGGUUUAAAUGUUUAGGCAGCUCUAUCAAGUGUAGAGCUAGAAUUCAAAUCCAGAUAAAUGACAAAGAAGUGCUGCAAUUAUCUAUGCUUUAAAAUGUUUUUCCUUAUCUAUCAUACAUCUUUGGAGAUAAUGUACACACACACACACACAAUCUCUCUCUCUGUCUCUAAUGGUAUUUAAAAACAAUUUAGUGUUAUUUUAAAUGUAUAUAAAAUACUGUGUAUUUAUGCAGUAUUCUCAAGCAUAAAAUAUAUUCUGCUAGUAAGUUAUAUAGUCUCAGUGUAUAGAAAGAAAAAUAUACUAAGCAUCAGUCUUGGAACAUGAAAGAUUUUGGGAGAAUGUGAUAAUCAGUGUUCAAUUGCACCCCCUCCCAAAAAAGAAUAUUUUACGGAUUGUAUUACUUCAGGCUUUUUAAGUGAGACAUUCUGAAUUACGUUCAGAGGAGCUUGUGCUAAAUAUGUCCAUCUUUUUGGUGGCCUUUUGUAGUUUUGCAAAUGUGGGAAAAGAACUAAUAUCCUAUUAACAAUUUAGAAGUUGUGUUCAGGCUUGAUUUAACCUAACUCUGCAGGCGUAGUACAUUUCAUUGAAAGUAGAGCAUUUGGAGUAGAACUUUUAUUUGGAGAUUUGGGGUGUUUAUAAUGGAUUUUCAUUUUAUUUGUGACAGACUUAAGGGGUGUUAGAUCCAGUGCUGUAGUUUCCACACAGACAGGCUGGAUUCUCUGGUGAGGAUGGAUGGGCUUUGGUUGCCACCUAUGUGGUAAUACCUUUUCUCUUUCAUUUCCAUGGAAAAGGUUGUUUAACAAUUAUUGUCAUUCAUCCCAAAUUUAAUUUGGUAUCAUGCAUACCUAUUGCACAGUUUACUUUCUGUUUUUUCUUUUAAAAACUCUUUGUUAAUCUUGAUGCUUUUUUUUUUGAUAGCUUGCCCUAGCAGGCCAAAACUAUGAAGUGUUUUUAAUUUUCAGAAUGUGUAGUCUUUUGUUCAUUUUAUUUCUUUGAUAAAGAGAUUAUAAACUAUGUUCUUAACUGUCAAGAUGUACAUAACAUAAUUCCCAAGUUAAUUGAACCCUUAUAAAGGGAAUAUGACUUACUGCUUCUCACUAAUACCAGAUAAAAGAAGGCUUUUCUUCUUUGAUGAUUUUUUUUACAGACAUGUUAAUUUAUAUUAGUGCGUUUGUAUUCCGGGUGACUUCUGACUCCUCCUGCCCCCCGUUUGAUAACAUUUUGGAAGUGAAAUGUUGGGGAUCUGUAUCUCUUUUCCACUGUUUGUAUCUGUGUCAGUAAUUUCAGACCAUCCAUCCUGACAUUUUAUUUUGAAUUAGGAGUGGGGAAGACUAUAACUUUAAACUUUUUUUUUUUCCUGCAUCUUGAACAUAGAGUUAGCAAUUUUAUAGUGGGAUGAGCACAAGAUGUAGAAUUAGGCUAAUCUGGAUUCAAAUUCCACUUUCACCACUUACUAGUUGUGCAACCUUGAGCAAUUUAUUUAACCUUUUGGAGCCUAUUUCUGCAUCCAAAAAUACUGAUAAUUUCUCCUUUGCUGAUUGUGUUGAGGAUUAAGGACAAUGCUGGUAAGGCCCCUUUCAGUGCCUGAGACACAUAAAUACUCAGUAAAUUGUGGGGAUUGUGCCACUUCUAUUAAGGAAGAUAUUUUAUCUCAGUUCUGAGGAAAUAUCUGUUAGACCUUGUGAUACUCUUUAGUGCUAAUCACCAAAUAUUUCCAGAUUGCUCCUCCCCCAACCCCCCCACCCCCGCCCUGCCUUGGUCACAUGGUAGGAUUUCACUUCCCUGAUCCUUGAAGCUAAGUGUGACCAUGUGACUAUCUUUGGCCGAAGGAAUAUGAAUGAAUGUGAUACACAGCACUUCUGGGAAGGAGCUUUAAGAGCCCAUGUGUUAGUUGCCAUCUCUCCUUUUCCUGUGUUGCUGAUUUUGAGGAAAUAUGUGUCAAGUUGGAGCAUCCGUCAGCCUGGGUUCCUGAGUGGCUUCCGUGCCCAGAGCCCUCCUGCUGAACUGGCAGCGUGAGCCAGAAAUGAACUUUUAGUGUAUUCUGCCCCUGGGAUUUGGAGGUUUUCUUACUGCUGUAAAACCAUAUCCUGAAUGAUACAGAACUUUUCGAAAACUGCAGUUUUUAUCUGAAUAAAGCAAAGUCUUUACCUGUUGUAAAUGAAGGUUUGACCUUUAGAAAAAAAUUGCUUAUGAUAGUUCUAUUACUCAAAGUUAAUUUUGAGCACCUGGGCCUUUGAAAACAGAAUAUAUUUUAUAAGAAUGUGGUGGUUAAAAGGCACGUUGGAAUCUAGAAGUGAAAUUCUUAAUGAGUAUGCUUAUGGAGUAACCUAGUGGUGGUGGUGGGGUGCACUGCUAGGCAGUAAAGCCUUUGAGUUUCAUUUAAUAUAGAGCACCCAGGCCUGAUAAUGGUGAGAGUAGCUAUGUAACACCACUGAACACGACAGGUCCUGAGAGAAAGGUAAAAGAAGGUUAGGAACUCUAGAUGAAGGUUAUUUUAUAAUAUGCAGCUAGUUGUUGCCACUUAGGUUGCAACUAUGAUUGCCUAUCUGAGCAUCUGCUUUGCAUGCUUUGGGGUUGGGCGAGAAAGCUGCUCAGUUGAUUGAACAGUUUGCCUACAGGUGUGAAAAUGUGCAUCACUUGCUAGCUGCUCAAUCUUCAGUAAGUUCUUUAAUCCUUUUGGUUUUGUUUUCUUACCCAUAAUAUGGUCAGGCUAAUGCCUACUGAUGAUGUAAAGAUGAGGUAAUGGAUAUGGGAUAACAUUAAAUGCUUGUUAGCUCUAUGACAACAACUUAGAAGGUACUAAGAAUUCUGGAGUUUCUAUGCCUUUUUGUUAACUGCAUUUGUUGAGAAAAGGUGGUGCUGAUGCAUUAUCAAGACCUUCCUUUUUCUACGUGAUUUUAGAAAGGAAUAGCUCUGUUCCUUUUCUUGUGAAUAGUAGCCUUUAUAAAAUCUAUUUACUUUCCUUAAUAUCAUGUAAAACUCACUAGACUAUGAGUUUCUUCAAGGGGCAUGAGCUCUUUUUUAUUCCAAAGGCGUAUCAAAUUACCCUAUCAAAAUAGAUCCUCCUUUCCUUCUAUAGUAUAGGCUUUCAGAAAAUAGUACAUUGGAUUGAAUUUUUUCUUUAUCCAGCAGUGUAAUUAUCAUGUUGAUAUUUACACAUGUAAACUCUGCAUGUUUAAAUUAUAGCGAUAUUAUUUCUUACACAUAGUGAUAUCUAUAUAAAUAGAUAUUAGACUAGAAAUCCUCUAGUAAAUGAAAUCAUCAAAAUGCUGUUUGCCUCAAGCUUAUCUGAUAAUAAAAUGUUGUUGAUGAGACACAUUUCUUAUAUCAAAUCCUAUUUUGACCAUUUGAAAAAUCCUUACUUCCUUGUUUUAGGGUUCCCUAAAUAUUGUUGCUAUUUAAGGAAGUGACAGUAUUCAGCUGAAAUUGCAGCAGAGGUUAAAAAAUCCCACAAUUGCAAAUUUAUCCUAAUAUAUGUAAGGAAACUUCAUAUACAUAAUUGAUUCUGUAGAAGUGACAAAAUUUAUAGAUUUAGUAAUACGUAGUUGAAACAUCUUUGGUGACAAAUGUCAAUGUAAAAAAGAUUUAAAAACGAACUUUAGUUUAACCUUAGAAAUAGUCUUGCUUUAUGUUGGAGUAGCCUUAUAGUAUUUUUCAUAAAUUUCAUUCCAUAUAACGAUUGGAUUUCAUACUGUGAGUGAGUGAGGUUGUCUUAUAAUCAGAACAUUGAGUUCUUGAGUAAUUUACACUGCCCUUGAUUAGCAGAUAAAAUGACAGUACAUCAUCCAGAUUUUUGAUCCAUUUGAAAUAACGUUAUAAUAAAAUUCUAAUUAUCAGGUCAUUAUUUUAAUGGUUUAGUAAACCACCAGGAUUUUAUAUAGUAAUAAACGGAAUAAGGGGUAUGAAUAACAUAAGUAUUAGAGUACUAUCCUUUAAGAAAUUUAUAAUAGAAAACAUAUGCUAUUCCAAAAUGGAAAAAUCCAAGAGUUGAUGAGCUAUUUGUUUUAUAAAGAAAUCACUAAUGUUUAAUUUAUAACUUAAAAGUUGUAGAGUUUACUACGUGUACAUGAAAGAUUUCUUGUAUUGCAUGCUCAUGGCUUCUAGCAGUGUCUUAUAAUAGGGAAGAAAAGAAAAUGCUCUGUUUUUCAUGUUUUAACUAGAAUAAGUUAAAGAUAGCAUGUGUUUUUUGUUUUCCGUUAUUCUCUUUUUAAUAGUGGCAUAAUGUUUGUAUUCAAACUCAUGCUAAAUCUUAUCUUCCUCAACAUUAAUAAUGUGUAGCUUUUUUUACCCAUUUUAUCCCAAUAAAAUAAAGAUUUUUAUAGUUACAAGAUCACAGUUAUGAGAAAAAUUACAGUAUUAUUUAGGAAUCUGUGAUAAAAUUUUCUAUCAUUUAGAUAAUAAAAAGUAUCAUGUUAAUUAUAUAAAGAAAAAGAUUAUUGUUGGUAUUCAACAACUGCAGUUCUGAGAAUCAAAUUAUACAGGAGUUGAGUGAACAUCUGAGUCCAUAUGUGCUAUCUGGAAAACAGCCAGUUGUAGCUAAAACAUUUCCUCAUAAUGUUCAUUAACUUUCCAUAGAAAAAGUGUUUUACACUUAGAUCAGCUCUCUUAGAAGGAGGAAUUUUAGAGCUAGAACAAAUAAUAUUUAAUGCUCAUUUUAUAGACCAAUAGUAAGAAAUUCCACCAGAAGCCAAGAUUUUUAGUCCUACACAUCUGGUCAUCAUGAUUUUGGAAUCUUUACACUCUGAUGAUAUGUCUUUGUUAUGACUUUAGAAUGUUUUCUGGCCAACUCAUUAAGCAGAUAUGGAAACGAAUCCUGAGUCAGACCAAGUUCCUAUCAUGCAUGAAGAAUACUGGACUCUUUUCAUCCUUAAAGAGAAAAUUCUUUGGAUGGUUUCGUGGAGCCAUUUUGCCAUAUUGCACAUAAAUGGAGUGUAUCACUCCUCAAUGUUUUCUUGUCUGUUCCUCUUCUUCCAAAAAAAGAAAAUCUGUUUUCUUUCAUUUGAAUGCUACUUUUCAUUAUACUUAGAUCAAAUUUUGAUAAGGAUCUGAAGAUUUCUUAAAAUAAUUGGUAUGCGUCGUUUGUAAAAUAUUCAGAUAUUCUCUUGAAGACAUUUAAUCAGCUGUCAUUUUGAUAUAAUUUAUUUAAAGAAAAUAAAAGAUGCAUUCAACUUUAAAAGAGUUUUUAGGUGGCUUGUAUGGGAUGUCAAAUAAUCAGGAAUAAAUUAUCUGAGUUAAAGACAGAAGUACAGGCUAUUUUGUAGUUCACCUUAUCCCCUGGGUAUAGCUCAUUAUUAAACACUAUGCAAAAAUAUCAGUGGUCAUCGUAUGCAUAGAGAGGAUUUAUUUCUCGUUAAGCAUCUUCCCAGUUUACUCAGAGUAUUCCUUGAGAUACUGAGAAAAUAAUUUAAAAUCUUUCUAUAUGCAUUUAAUGAGGGGUAGUAUUCUGAACUAUCCAUUGAAUAUAUACACUUAUAGUUAAAAGGUUUUAUUGAAAACCUCUUUCUGUUUUUGAACAAAGAUUGAACUUUUUCCAUGACUCAGAGUAAUGAAAAGGAAAUAUUUAUUUUGAGGAUAAGCCAAUUUAUAUAUUAUUGGACAUAACACAGACCACCCAGGCCUGAAGCCUACUAUUUAUAGUUUGGGAUCUUAAAUCUACAUAUGCUCUUGAUGAGCAAGAGCUAUCUUUUUUCCAACUAAAAGUUUUAUGUCUACAAAGGGUAAUAAUUUCAUGUUUCUCCCCCCACUUAGUUAGUAAAAUUCUGUCAAGUAGAUUAUUUUAUUUCCACAGGGGAAAAGAUUUCUUUGGACCUCAGUAAUAAUAACAUUACUAAAUUUCAUCUAUCAAAGGACUAAUGUUUAAUAUUGUUGGAAAACAUAGAGUUAUAUUUACCUUCAAAAUCAGUUUCUUGUAUAAAUAUAUAUAUGUGUGUGUGUGUACACACACACGCAAUGUAACUGGCUUGUUUUUAGUGCGAAAUUUAUACUUUGAUUUGAAGCUCCAUUCUCUGCUACUCAGCCAUCACAUUUUAGAAUUCUUCAAAGAUUGGUUCUAGGCUCUCUUUUUGUCUCUCUCUGUAUUCUCAUUGUAAACAACUUACCCCAUCUUCAUAGCUUUAACUACCAUCUAAUAUAAUAGGGAGUAAGAAAGAGAAAGUGGUGCAAAACAGAAACUAUCAAGCAUGAAUCUCCUCAACCGCACAUUGGAAAGUCAUGUUUGUUAGCUUCUAUGUUUCUCAGUAAAGUAGAAGAUAGGGUUUUGAUGAAGGAUAGAGAGUCAAAGGCAUGAACAAGAUUGAGGAUUUGAAAUAUUUGUUUUGUAUAGAUCAGAGUAAAACGAUAGGAUUGCUGGACUGCGUUCAGAAUCCCUUUGAGGAUGGGGAUCAUAUUUUGUCGUGUGGUUUUCCCUAGCAGCACACCAUUGCUUCAUUAUGGUUUCGGAAAAGGUAGUUUCAUCCAGGGUUGCAGUUUUGCCAAAGGAGAUGAUACAAGGACUGAAUGGAAAAGAAUUUUGGGGUAAUAUAGUUUUUUCUAGAGUCAUGGAAUUUAAGCUGGAUAAGGAGGAGAGUGAAGAGAGAAAGCAUUGAUAGAUGGGAAGAAAUACGAAGCUGAUGAAUUAGAAGUCUCUUAACAGACCAAAGAACCUUCAUGGUGGGAGUAGAUCAUCAAGAAAAUUAGAAGUAAAUGAGAAUGUGAUUAUAAGGUGAACUGCCUGAAUAAAGGGUUCAAGAGCACUUAGGACGGCAAGAUCAUGGUACUAACUGUGGAAGUAGAUGGGUGACAUAAAGUGAAGGAACUCACUGGGAAGGAGAAGGCCAGAGUACUGCAUGGAUCACACAUGUGGGUAUUGACGUCACCCAGAAUAGUGGAAGGAUUUGGAAUUGAGAGAAAGACAGUAAGUUAAGUUCCAAAACCUUUGAUGAAUAAGGGGGAACGAAGGAGAUGUUAGUAGAUACAACAGCAAUUAGGAGACAGAGAGGAGUGAAUGGCAUGAGCCUCAAAUGAUCAGAAUCUUUACUAAAGAAUUGGCGAUGAUGAUAUAAAGCUCGAAAUAGGGAGCAGGGAAGAAUGUGGUAAGUAAACAGCCUUCAUUUGAGAUGGCUGCAGGGCAUAUGUAUCUUUAAGGGGCACUUGGUUUUCACUGGAGGCAAAGAGGCAAAAGGAACCUUUUCCAGAUGGAGUUGAGAAUAUAGGACAGGGGAAAACAGGUAGUCUGUACUCAGUAAAUGCUAUUUAUUUAUUGAACAAUAAUAAAAAGUCGAUGGAAACACUAAUAUUAUGUCCACGUCCCUUUUGGUUUUUAUAUGUAUUGGUGUUUGGAAUGGAGUAUACAUACUACACAUGGAUUUUAAUAAUCUCAGCAUUAAUGAGAUGAGGCCAGGAGUACUAGGAUGGGUAAGGGAAACGAUCAGAACCAUGGUGAAAUCAUGGCAAAAUUUCUAAGUCAAAUGAAACAUUUACUGUCUUAAGACUAUAGAAUUCUAUUUGUAAAUGUGAUAGAUUGAUUAUGUACAUGUUGGAAUUGUUUCCCUACGUGUCUGUUGCUGCUUAAAGAAAAUGCUUCAAAGUUUUAUAUUGUUUGAGUUAAUGAUCAUAUGAUCACAUUUAUAAAUUACCAAGAUAGUGUAAACAUUGCUUUCUCUUUAAAAUAAUGAUUCAUUUAAUCUAAGUGGGAAAACUAAAUAAAAAUUGUUUUUUUAUUGAA